AGCGAACGCUGGCGGCAGGCCUAACACAUGCAAGUCGAACGAACUCUUCGGAGUUAGUGGCGGACGGGUGAGUAACACGUGGGAACGUGCCUUUAGGUUCGGAAUAACUCAGGGAAACUUGUGCUAAUACCGAAUGUGCCCUUCGGGGGAAAGAUUUAUCGCCUUUAGAGCGGCCCGCGUCUGAUUAGCUAGUUGGUGAGGUAAAGGCUCACCAAGGCGACGAUCAGUAGCUGGUCUGAGAGGAUGAUCAGCCACAUUGGGACUGAGACACGGCCCAAACUCCUACGGGAGGCAGCAGUGGGGAAUCUUGUGCAAUGGGCGAAAGCCUGACGCAGCCAUGCCGCGUGAAUGAUGAAGGUCUUAGGAUUGUAAAAUUCUUUCACCGGGGACGAUAAUGACGGUACCCGGAGAAGAAGCCCCGGCUAACUUCGUG
RNAcentral lists this ribosomal RNA (433 nucleotides) under uncultured bacterium. RNAcentral describes it as "partial 16S ribosomal RNA". It matches the Rfam family "Bacterial small subunit ribosomal RNA", at positions 29 to 507 of the family's 1533-position model. The record is from RNAcentral.